Molecule: ribosomal RNA, 649 nt
Filed under: uncultured bacterium
Lineage: Bacteria
Description: bacterial SSU rRNA
Rfam family: Bacterial small subunit ribosomal RNA
Source: RNAcentral
GAGCGGCGAACGGGUGAGUAAUGCUUCGGAAUCUACCCUCUAGUGGGGAAUAACCAGCCGAAGGGUUGGCUAAUACCGCAUACGUCACGGGAGAAAGCAGGGGAUCGUAAGACCUUGCGCUGAUGGAUGAGCCGAAGUCGGAUUAGCUAGUUGGUGAGGUAACGGCUCACCAAGGCGACGAUCCGUAGCUGGUCUGAGAGGACGACCAGCCACACUGGGACUGAGACACGGCCCAGACUCCUACGGGAGGCAGCAGUGGGGAAUAUUGGACAAUGGGGGCAACCCUGAUCCAGCGACGCCGCGUGUGUGAAGAAGGCCUGCGGGUUGUAAAGCACUUUUAGUGGGGAUGAAAUGUGCAGGGUUAAUACCUCUGCAUUUUGACCUAACCCACAGAAAAAGCACCGGCUAACUCUGUGCCAGCAGCCGCGGUAAUACAGAGGGUGCAAGCGUUAAUCGGAAUUACUGGGCGUAAAGCGUGCGCAGACGGUUAUAUAAGUCGGGUGUGAAAGCCCCGGGCUCAACCUGGGAAUUGCAUUCGAGACUGUGUAGCUAGGGUACGGAAGAGGGAAGCGGAAUUUCAGGUGUAGCGGUGAAAUGCGUAGAUAUCUGAAGGAACACCAGUGGCGAAAGCGGCUUCCUGGUCCAGUAC